RNAcentral lists this ribosomal RNA (762 nucleotides) under uncultured organism. Its description in RNAcentral is "bacterial SSU rRNA". It matches the Rfam family "Bacterial small subunit ribosomal RNA", at positions 27 to 808 of the family's 1533-position model. The record is from RNAcentral.
GGAUGAACGUUGGCGGCGUGCCUAAUACAUGCAAGUCGAACGAGAAGCACCCUUCGGGGUGUGGAGAGUGGCGCACGGGUGAGUAACACGUAGCUCAUCUACCCCAGAUGACGGGAUAACCUUCGGAAACGAGGGCUAAUACCGUAUAAGCUCACGGUAUGUAAGAAGCUGUGAGAAAAGCUCCGGCGCUUUGGGAUGAGGCUGCGGUCCAUCAGCUACUUGGUGUGGUAAUGGCGCACCAAGGCGACGACGGAUAUGGGACCUGAGAGGGUGAGCCCCCACACUGUGACUGAGACACGGACCAGACUCCUACGGGAGGCAGCAGUAAGGAAUAUUGCACAAUGGGCGCAAGCCUGAUGCAGCGACGCCGCGUGGGUGAUCAAGGUUUUCGAAUCGUAAAGCCCUUUUCUAUGUGACGAGCAAGGACGGUAGCAUAGGAAUAAGUGUCGGCUAACUACGUGCCAGCAGCCGCGGUAAAACGUAGGACGCAAACGUUAUCCGGAGUUACUGGGCGUAAAGCGCGCGCAGGCGGAGUGUUAACUUGUUUAUGAAAGCUCCCGGCUAAACUGGGAGAGGUUGGACAAAACUGGCAUUCUAGAGUGAAGCAGAGGAAGGCAGAAUUCCGCGUGUAGUGGUGAAAUGCGUAGAUAUGCGGAGGCAUACCAGUGGCGAAGGCGGUCUUCUGGGCUUCAACUGACGCUGAGGCGCGAAAGCAUGGGGAGCGAACGGGAUUAGAAACCCCGGUAGUCCAUGCCGUAAACG